RNAcentral lists this ribosomal RNA (836 nucleotides) under uncultured bacterium. RNAcentral describes it as "bacterial SSU rRNA". It matches the Rfam family "Bacterial small subunit ribosomal RNA", at positions 32 to 902 of the family's 1533-position model. The record is from RNAcentral.
AACGCGGGCGGCGCGCUUAACACAUGCAAGUCGAGCGAGAAAGGGGAGCAAUCCCCGAGUAAAGCGGCGCACGGGUGAGUAACACGUGGGGAAUCUACCUCUGGGUGGGGAAUAACUCUGGGAAACCGGAGCUAAUACCGCAUAAGCCUGGAAAGGGAAAGCCGAAAGGCGCCGGGAGAGGACCCCGCGGCCGAUUAGCUAGUUGGUGAGGUAACGGCUCACCAAGGCGAAGAUCGGUAGCCGGCCUGAGAGGGCACACGGCCACACUGGCACUGAAACACGGGCCAGACUCCUACGGGAGGCAGCAGUGGGGAAUCUUGCACAAUGGGGGAAACCCUGAUGCAGCGACGCCGCGUGAGCGAUGAAGCCCUUCGGGGCGUAAAGCUCUUUCGGCCCGAACGAUAAUGACGGUACGGGAAGAAGAAGCUGCGGCUAACUACGUGCCAGCAGCCGCGGUAAUACGUAGGCAGCAAGCGUUGUUCGGAGUUACUGGGCGUAAAGAGUGCGUAGGCGGUGUCGCAAGUUUGGUGUGAAAUCUCCCGGCUUAACUGGGAGGGUGCGCCGAAAACUGCGACGCUGGAGUGUGGGAAAGGCAAGCGGAAUUCCUGGUGUAGCGGUGAAAUGCGUAGAUAUCAGGAGGAACACCGGCGGUGUAGACGGCUUGCUAGACCAUAACUGACGCUGAGGCACGAAAGCGUGGGUAGCAAACAGGAUUAGAUACCCUGGUAGUCCACGCCCUAAACGAUGCAUACUUGGUGUGGGCAGUUCAUUCUGUCCGUGCCGGAGCUAACGCGUUAAGUAUGCCGCCUGGGGAGUACGGUCGCAGGCUGAAACUC